CGGCGAGUGAAGCGGGAUCAGCCCAGCACCGAAUCCCCCGGCAUCUCGCCGGCGGGAACUGUGGUGUAUGGGACGCCAACUGUCGUCUGCGCCGGUGGCCGAAGUCCUCCUGAUCGGGGCCUCUCCCAGAGCGGGUGUCAGGCCUUUACUGGCCGCCGGCGCGUCGGCUGCGAGCGUCUCCGGAGUCGGGUUGUUUGGGAAUGCAGCCCUAAGCGGGUGGUAAACUCCAUCUAAGGCUAAAUACUGGCACGAGUCCGAUAGCGGACAAGUACCGUGAG
RNAcentral lists this ribosomal RNA (278 nucleotides) under Concholepas concholepas. RNAcentral's name for it is "partial 28S ribosomal RNA". It matches the Rfam family "Eukaryotic large subunit ribosomal RNA", at positions 87 to 357 of the family's 3401-position model. Lineage: Eukaryota; Metazoa; Mollusca; Gastropoda; Neogastropoda; Muricidae. The record is from RNAcentral.